CGAGAAAGCCCGCAAGGGUGAGUACAGCGGCGCACGGGUGCGUAACACGUGGGUAAUCUGCCCUGGAGCCCGGAAUAACUCUCCGAAAGGAGAGCUAAUGCCGGAUGAGCCCACGGGGUCUUAGGACCCCGAGGGAAAAGGUGGCCUCUGUAUACAAGCUAUCACUUCAGGAUGAGCCCGCGGCCCAUCAGCUAGUUGGCGGGGUAAUGGCCCACCAAGGCUACGACGGGUAGCUGGUCUGAGAGGACGAUCAGCCACACUGGAACUGAGACACGGUCCAGACUCCUACGGGAGGCAGCAGUGGGGUAUCUUGCGCAAUGGGCGAAAGCCUGACGCAGCAACGCCGCGUGUGUGAUGAAGGUCUUCGGAUCGUAAAGCACUGUCGCGAGGGACG
RNAcentral lists this ribosomal RNA (394 nucleotides) under uncultured Anaeromyxobacter sp. RNAcentral describes it as "bacterial SSU rRNA". It matches the Rfam family "Bacterial small subunit ribosomal RNA", at positions 67 to 447 of the family's 1533-position model. The record is from RNAcentral. Lineage: Bacteria; Pseudomonadati; Myxococcota; Myxococcia; Myxococcales; Anaeromyxobacteraceae.